GAUGAACGCUGGCGGCGUGCCUAAUACAUGCAAGUCGAGCGAACGGACGAGAAGCAUGCUUCUCUGAUGUUAGAGGCGGACGGGUGAGUAACACGUGGAUAAAAUAACUAUACGAAUGGGAUAACUUCGGGAAACCGUAGCUACUACCGGAAAAUAUUUUGAACCGCAUGGUUCAAAAGUGAAAGACGGUCUUUCUGUCACUUAUAGAUUGACACGCGCUGCAUUAGUUAGUUGGUAAGGUAACGGAUUACCAAGGCAACGAGGCAUAGCCGACCUGAGGGGGACGUCCGCCAGACUGUAACUGAGGCACGGUCCAGACACCGACAGUGGGCAACGGUAGGGAAUCUUCCGCGAUGGGCGAGAGCCUGACGGAGCAACGCCGCGUGAGUGAUGAAGGUCUUCGGAUCGUAGAACUCUGUUAGUAGGGAAGAACAUAUGUGUAAGUAACUGUGCACAUCUUGACGGUACCGAAUCAGAAAGCCACGGCUAACUACGUG
Molecule: ribosomal RNA, 497 nt
Filed under: uncultured bacterium
Lineage: Bacteria
Description: partial 16S ribosomal RNA
Rfam family: Bacterial small subunit ribosomal RNA
Source: RNAcentral